UGGGGAAUAUUGCACAAUGGGCGCAAGCCUGAUGCAGCCAUGCCGCGUGUAUGUAGAAGGCCUUCGGGUUGUAAAGUACUUUCAGCGGGGAGGAAGGCGAUAAGGUUAAUAACCUUGUCGAUUGACGUUACCCGCAGAAGAAGCACCGGCUAACUCCGUGCCAGCAGCCGCGGUAAUACGGAGGGUGCAAGCGUUAAUCGGAAUUACUGGGCGUAAAGCGCACGCAGGCGGUCUGUCAAGUCGGAUGUGAAAUCCCCGGGCUCAACCUGGGAACUGCAUUCGAAACUGGCAGGCUAGAGUCUUGUAGAGGGGGGUAGAAUUCCAGGUGUAGCGGUGAAAUGCGUAGAGAUCUGGAGGAAUACCGGUGGCGAAGGCGGCCCCCUGGACAAAGACUGACGCUCAGGUGCGAAAGCGUGGGGAGCAAACA
RNAcentral lists this ribosomal RNA (427 nucleotides) under uncultured bacterium. RNAcentral's name for it is "partial 16S ribosomal RNA". It matches the Rfam family "Bacterial small subunit ribosomal RNA", at positions 355 to 774 of the family's 1533-position model. The record is from RNAcentral.